GUUUCCUGACACGUUGGGAAACGCCGAAAAAAAGACCUGCAUUGGAUCAGUGUAGGCAACGGAUGGCCUCAGGGCGCCGUCAACAUAUCCCUUCCUGUAAUGUUUUGGGCUAGUAGCUCAGUUGGUUAGAGCACACGCUUGAUAAGCGUGGGGUCGGAGGUUCAAGUCCUCCCUGGCCCACCACGACUGUGGUGGUUUCUAGACCUGGGGGCGUAGCUCAGCUGGGAGAGCACCUGCUUUGCAAGCAGGGGGUCGUCGGUUCGAUCCCGUCCGCCUCCACCAGAAACCACACCGGUACACGCUGCUUGGCGAAAGCUUCGAGCGGCAUGAUGGUGCGAUAACAUUACAGGUUAAGGGAAAAAUGUUUCCUCCCUGCCGCACUUUGGUGCGGGAGCGAUGAAAAAGUCUGUUCUUUGUCAGUGUGAAUAGGUUGGUGCACUUUCUGGGUGCUGCCACGAUCCGGGUUGGUCUGACCCAUGUGGAUCGGUUUUGGGUUCCUGGACUUUGGUCCGGGAGGCUCUGAUCCGGUCUCGUGUUUAAGGAUUGUGGCGUAUAGCGGUCAGAGAGUGUUUUAUAAGUAUGAUGAACUUUGCGUGCGAUGCAUUGCAUUUUCUCUGCGCAGGAAACUCUGAAGCGCGCGAGCGUGGAUGGUUGCUGUGCAUGUGUAGUGUGUGAGCAUGAGAAGGGCAU
This 690-nucleotide transfer RNA is filed under the name Asaia sp. aP75. Its description in RNAcentral is "partial 16S-23S ribosomal RNA intergenic spacer". The stretch from base 107 to 180 matches the Rfam family "tRNA". The record is from RNAcentral. Lineage: Bacteria; Pseudomonadati; Pseudomonadota; Alphaproteobacteria; Acetobacterales; Acetobacteraceae.